AACGAACGCUGGCGGCAUGCCUAACACAUGCAAGUCGAACGAGACCUUCGGGUCUAGUGGCGCACGGGUGCGUAACGCGUGGGAACCUGCCCUUAGGUUCGGAAUAACUCCCCGAAAGGGGUGCUAUUACCGGAUAAUGUCUUCGGACCAAAGAUUUAUCGCCUUUGGAUGGGCCCGCGUUGGAUUAGCUAGUUGGUAGGGUUAAAGCCUACCAAGGCGACGAUCCAUAGCUGGUCUGAGAGGAUGGUCAGCCACACUGAGACUGAGACACGGCCCGGACUCCUACGGGAGGCAGCAGUGGGGAAUAUUGGACCGUGGGCGAAAGCCUGAUCCAGCAAUGCCGCGUGAGUGAUGAAGGCCUUAGGGUUGUAAAGCUCUUUUACCCGGGAUGAUAAUGACAGUACCGGGAGAAUAAGCUCCGGCUAACUCCGUG
RNAcentral lists this ribosomal RNA (433 nucleotides) under uncultured bacterium. RNAcentral describes it as "partial 16S ribosomal RNA". It matches the Rfam family "Bacterial small subunit ribosomal RNA", at positions 29 to 507 of the family's 1533-position model. The record is from RNAcentral.